GAGCUAACGCGUUAAGUCGACCGCCUGGGGAGUACGGCCGCAAGGUUAAAACUCAAGUGAAUUGACGGGGGCCCGCACAAGCGGUGGAGCAUGUGGUUUAAUUCGAUGCAACGCGAAGAACCUUACCUGGUCUUGACAUCCACGGAAGUUUUCAGAGAUGAGAAUGUGCCUUCGGGAACCGUGAGACAGGUGCUGCAUGGCUGUCGUCAGCUCGUGUUGUGAAAUGUUGGGUUAAGUCCCGCAACGAGCGCAACCCUUAUCCUUUGUUGCCAGCGGUCCGGCCGGGAACUCAAAGGAGACUGCCAGUGAUAAACUGGAGGAAGGUGGGGAUGACGUCAAGUCAUCAUGGCCCUUACGACCAGGGCUACACACGUGCUACAAUGGCGCAUACAAAGAGAAGCGACCUCGCGAGAGCAAGCGGACCUCAUAAAGUGCGUCGUAGUCCGGAUUGGAGUCUGCAACUCGACUCCAUGAAGUCGGAAUCGCUAGUAAUCGUGGAUCAGAAUGCCACGGUGAAUACGUUCCCGGGCCUUGUACACACCGCCCGUC
RNAcentral lists this ribosomal RNA (549 nucleotides) under uncultured bacterium. RNAcentral describes it as "bacterial SSU rRNA". It matches the Rfam family "Bacterial small subunit ribosomal RNA", at positions 848 to 1398 of the family's 1533-position model. The record is from RNAcentral.